This 656-nucleotide ribosomal RNA is filed under the name uncultured Actinomycetes bacterium. RNAcentral's name for it is "bacterial SSU rRNA". It matches the Rfam family "Bacterial small subunit ribosomal RNA", at positions 232 to 885 of the family's 1533-position model. The record is from RNAcentral. Lineage: Bacteria; Bacillati; Actinomycetota; Actinomycetes.
CGCGGCCUAUCAGCUUGUUGGUGGGGUAACGGCCUACCAAGGCGAUUACGGGUAGCCGGCCUGAGAGGGCGACCGGCCACACUGGGACUGAGACACGGCCCAGACUCCUGCGGGAGGCAGCAGUGGGGAAUAUUGCGCAAUGGGCGAAAGCCUGACGCAGCGACGCCGCGUGGGGGAUGACGGCCUUCGGGUUGUAAACCUCUUUUACCACCAACGCAGGCUCCCGGUUCUCCGGGGGUUGACGGUAGGUGGGGAAUAAGGGCCGGCUAACUACGUGCCAGCAGCCGCGGUAAUACGUAGGGUCCGAGCGUUGUCCGGAAUUAUUGGGCGUAAAGAGCUCGUAGGCGGCGUGUCGCGUCUGCUGUGAAAGACCGGGGCUUAACCCCGGUUCUGCAGUGGAUACGGGCAUGCUAGAGGUAGGUAGGGGAGACUGGAAUUCCUGGUGUAGCGGUGAAAUGCGCAGAUAUCAGGAGGAACACCGGUGGCGAAGGCGGGUCUCUGGGCCUUACCUGACGCUGAGGAGCGAAAGCAUGGGGAGCGAACAGGAUUAGAUACCCUGGUAGUCCAUGCCGUAAACGUUGGGCGCUAGGUGUGGGGACUUUCCACGGUUUCCGCGCCGUAGCUAACGCAUUAAGCGCCCCGCCUGGGGAGUACGG